GGUUUAUUCUAGAGCUGGUACGCUCACGUUUAAGCAAUGCGGGAUAGGGACAAGGCCGGUGAGGGGUCAGGAGAACCCCCUUUUUGUGUCUGAAUGUGAGUGGGGAAGUAAAAAGGCAGCGUGGUUCUCCCAACAUCGGCACCGCGACUGACUAUCCGCCACCAAAGGAAGGAGGAAGGAGGAAGGAGGAAGGAGAGAGAUAAAUAUUAAAUAAAAAGAAAAAGAAAACCGGCGAGUGAGUCCGAGUAGAGUCCCGGUGGGCUCUCGCGGUCUUUGCUUUCCUCGGCAAACAAUGUGUAGCACGCUAUCGUACGGAUUGCUUCGCUUACUCACAUCUUUAAUUCUUAAUUAACUAUCAUUAUCAUAAUCAUAGUCAUUAUUAUUAUUUUAUUAAUAAUAAUAAUUAUUUUUUUUAAUUUGAUUGUUUGAUUUUAUUUUCUGUUUUGUUUUUUUUUUUUUUUUUUAUUUUUAUUUUUGCUCCUGCACGAUUUGUUUAAAUUGAAUAAAGUGUGUUUAAGCUUUAAAAAGUGGGUUUAAUUUAACGAAUGUAGUUUGUUAGUUAGUGUAUGCUGCACGCGUGGAUAAAAUACCUUUAAAGUUUGUGUAGGUGCUAAUUAGCGGGGGUGUGUUAAGAGAGAGUGUGAAUGAUAAAUGGAGACGCGAGUGUGCGCUACCGGUAGCACGGUAUCCGGUGGAACGUCAGCGGAAACGGCGUCGAGAGGCGUCGCGACGCCCUCGCCCUCACCUGUGCCCUCGCUCCCAGCCUCCUCCGGGACCGCGAGUAUCGGUAUCACCGCCUCCGCGGUUCUAACUUCCGCGGGUUCUAUGCAAAGCUCAUCGAGUCCAGUGGUGUUACCAAGCCCGCCUGUUGUCUCUACCCACGCCAGUCUGCCCAAAAUACUCAGCAGAAAUGUCAACGGAACACUUGUCCAGACAUCUGUACCGCAAAACGAAGCCGAACUACAACUUUAUCGUGUUAUGCAACGUGCUUCUCUUUUAGGAUAUUAUGAUACGCUUUUAGAAAUGGGUGGUGACGAUGUACAACAACUUUGUGACGCUGGUGAAGAAGAGUUUCUAGAAAUAAUGGCAUUAGUCGGUAUGGCGAGUAAACCUCUGCACGUUAGAAGACUGCAAAAAGCUUUACAAGAAUGGAUAACAAACCCUUCGUUAUUUCAAACACCAGUAGUACCGUCUAACACGGCACCCACGAAGAGCGGUAGUUCGACAGGCGUACCGAUACCCGCGGCGAGCCCACGAACUCAUCAAACAAAUUCCUCAAUAUUUCCGCUGGCUCAAACAAGCCCGACAACACCGUUCUCCUCGACGACCCACGUGCCUCUUACACCGUUGCCUUGCAGAAGUGUUAGUCCUGUUACGCCGGUAACAACUGUUAUUGCACCUGCUGCCUCUACAUUUCGACACAGCCCGAGUCCCAAUACGCCGAUCGCUUACACGGGUUCUCACAGUCCCGGAGUGCUUCAAGUCGGAACCUGCGAGUCAUCCUGCGGAAGCGGUACAACACCCAGCCCGAGUGGUGGUGGAGGAGCACCACCUAGUCCCACACAAGUAACGCCGACGUUAUUGCCAUCGCAGGUACAGCGACUCGCGGAUGCAGCCGAAAGACUCGCCUGUAACUUGAGACCGUUGGACCCGAAACCUCACAAUGUUAAGAAAAAAAUUUGCAAAAAUCUCGAGCAGAUAGUUAUGGCGAUGCCGGAGAACGAUCCCAGGAGGAUGGAAGAGAUAAGAAAGUACGCGGCUAUUUAUGGACGGUUUGAUUGCAAAAGAAAACCCGAAAAACCGCUGACACUCCACGAGGUGUCUGUAAAUGAAGCUGCUGCGCAAAUUUGCCGGUUUGUUCCAGCUCUCCUGACCAGACGGGACGAAUUGUUUCCUCUGGCUCGACGUGUCGUUCGUGAUUCCGGAUACCACUACUCCAAAAGUCAAUUCCUAAUGACAAGACGCAGCGAAAAUGGGGACGAAGAGACUGAGAAAAUUAAGCGCCAGCAUCUCGACGCAGAUGCUGAGGGUGAGGACACAUCCCAGGCCGAGUUGGAUUUACGCUGUACCGGGACGGAUAUCAACAGUACUUUAAGACGACAUGCCUCCUCAAGUUUGGAGGAAGAAGAGUAACAACGGUGUGUUUAUGACCAAUAUCGAAGAAGUCAGCGACACUGAUAGCCAAUUUUCAUUUUCUAAUGACGAAUCUUUGCAUGAUAUCAACGAAUUGGACACCGACAAUACGGAUAAAGAAAGUGAUUUUAAUUUAAAA
This 2272-nucleotide unclassified non-coding RNA is filed under the name Cotesia glomerata. Its description in RNAcentral is "nGFI-A-binding protein homolog, transcript variant X2". Lineage: Eukaryota; Metazoa; Arthropoda; Insecta; Hymenoptera; Braconidae. The record is from RNAcentral.